This 735-nucleotide ribosomal RNA is filed under the name uncultured bacterium. RNAcentral's name for it is "bacterial SSU rRNA". It matches the Rfam family "Bacterial small subunit ribosomal RNA", at positions 335 to 1064 of the family's 1533-position model. The record is from RNAcentral.
ACUCCUACGGGUGGCUGCAGUGGGGAAUAUUGGACAAUGGGGGCAACCCUGAUCCAGCAAUGCCGCGUGUGUGAAGAAGGCCUUAGGGUUGUAAAGCACUUUCGUUAGUGAAGAAAGGUUUAUGGUUAAUACCUGUGAAUUUGACAUUAGCUAAAGAAGAAGCACCGGCUAACUCCGUGCCAGCAGCCGCGGUAAUACGGAGGGUGCAAGCGUUAUUCGGAAUGACUGGGCGUAAAGCGCACGCAGGCGGUUAUUUAAGUCAGAUGUGAAAGCCCCGGGCUUAACCUGGGAAUUGCAUUUGAAACUGGGUAACUAGAGUAUGUCAGAGGAAGGCGGAAUUUCCAGUGUAGCAGUGAAAUGCGUAGAGAUUGGAAGGAACACCGAUGGCGAAGGCAGCCUUCUGGGGCAAUACUGACGCUCAUGUGCGAAAGCGUGGGUAGCAAACAGGAUUAGAUACCCUGGUAGUCCACGCCCUAAACGAUGUCAACUAGGUGUUGGGCACUUAAGUGCUCGGUACCGCAGCUAACGCAUUAAGUUGACCGCCUGGGGAGUACGGCCGCAAGGUUGAAACUCAAAGAAAUUGACGGGGACCCGCACAAGCGGUGGAGCAUGUGGUUUAGUUCGAUGCAACGCGAAGAACCUUACCAGGCCUUGACAUCCAGAGAACUAAGCAGAGAUGCUAUGGUGCCUUCGGGAACUCUGAGACGGGUGAUGCAUGGUUGUCGUCAGCUCGUG